ACGCUCGACACCUACGGGGGCAGCAGUGGGGAAUAUUGCACAAUGGAGGAAACUCUGAUGCAGCGAUGCCGCGUGAGGGAAGAAGGUUUUCGGAUUGUAAACCUCUGUCUUUGGGGACGAUAAUGACGGUACCCAAGGAGGAAGCUCCGGCUAACUACGUGCCAGCACGCCGACGGUAAUCUGAGGCGGGCGUGGACGAAGGC
RNAcentral lists this ribosomal RNA (203 nucleotides) under uncultured bacterium. Its description in RNAcentral is "partial 16S ribosomal RNA". It matches the Rfam family "Bacterial small subunit ribosomal RNA", at positions 328 to 538 of the family's 1533-position model. The record is from RNAcentral.